GCAAACAGGAUUAGAUACCCUGGUAGUCCACGCCCUAAACGAUGAGUACUAAACGUUGGAUAAAACCAGUGUUGAAGUUAACACAUUAAGUACUCCGCCUGAGUAGUACGUACGCAAGUAUGAAACUUAAAGGAAUUGACGGGACUCCGCACAAGCGGUGGAUCAUGUUGUUUAAUUCGAAGGUACCCGAAAAACCUCACCAGGUCUUGACAUGCUUUUGCAAAGCUGUAGAAAUACAGUGGAGGUUAUCAAAAGCACAGGUGGUGCAUGGUUGUCGUCAGCUCGUGUCGUGAGAUGUUGGGUUAAGUCCCGCAACGAGCGCAACCCUUGUUGUUAAUUGCCAUCAUUAAGUUGGGGACUUUAGCAAGACUGCCAAUGAUAAAUUGGAGGAAGGUGGGGACGACGUCAAAUCAUCAUGCCCCUUAUGACCUGGGCUACAAACGUGAUACAAUGGCUGUUACAAAGGGUAGCUAAAGCGUAAGCUUCUGGCGAAUCUCAAAAAAGCAGUCUCAGUUCGGAUUGAAGUCUGCAACUCGACUUCAUGAAGUUGGAAUCGCUAGUAAUCGCGAAUCAGCAUGUCGCGGUGAAUACGUUCUCGGGGUUUGUACACACCGCCCGUCAAACCACGAAAGUUGGCAAUACCCAAAGCCGGUGGCCUAACUUGAGCAAUCAAGAAGGAGCCGUCUAAGGUAGGGUUGAUGAUUGGGGUUAAGUCGUAACAAGGUAUCCCUACCGGAAGGUGGGGAUGGAUCACCUCCUU
RNAcentral lists this ribosomal RNA (760 nucleotides) under Candidatus Phytoplasma solani. Its description in RNAcentral is "bacterial SSU rRNA". It matches the Rfam family "Bacterial small subunit ribosomal RNA", at positions 768 to 1532 of the family's 1533-position model. The record is from RNAcentral. Lineage: Bacteria; Bacillati; Mycoplasmatota; Mollicutes; Acholeplasmatales; Acholeplasmataceae.